CCUACGGGUGGCAGCAGUGAGGAAUAUUGGUCAAUGGACGCAAGUCUGAACCAGCCAUGCCGCGUGAAGGAAGACGGCCCUAUGAGUUGUAAACUGCUUUUGUACGAGGGUAAACGCAUAUACGCGUAUCUGUCUGUAUGUAUCGUACGAAUAAGGAUCGGCUAACUCCGUGCCAGCAGCCGCGGUAAUACGGAGGAUUCAAGCGUUAUCCGGAUUUAUUGGGUUUAAAGGGUGCGUAGGCGGUCGGAUAAGUUAGAGGUGAAAUCUCGAGGCUCAACUUUGAAAUUGCAGUUGAUACUGGCAGGCUAGAGAGUAGUAGCGGUGGGCGGAAUGUGUGGUGUAGCGGUGAAAUGCUUAGAGAUCAUGCAGAACACCGAUUGCGAAGGCAGCUUACCGGGCUACAUCUGACGUUGAGGCACGAAAGCGUGGGGAGCAAACAGGAUUAGAUACCCUGGUAGUC
This 460-nucleotide ribosomal RNA is filed under the name uncultured bacterium. Its description in RNAcentral is "partial 16S ribosomal RNA". It matches the Rfam family "Bacterial small subunit ribosomal RNA", at positions 338 to 795 of the family's 1533-position model. The record is from RNAcentral.